AGUGAACGCUGGCGGUAGGCCUAACACAUGCAAGUCGAACGGCAGCACAGUAAGAGCUUGCUCUUACGGGUGGCGAGUGGCGGACGGGUGAGGAAUACAUCGGAAUCUACUUUUUCGUGGGGGAUAACGUAGGGAAACUUACGCUAAUACCGCAUACGACCUACGGGUGAAAGCAGGGGAUCUUCGGACCUUGCGCGAUUGAAUGAGCCGAUGUCGGAUUAGCUAGUUGGCGGGGUAAAGGCCCACCAAGGCGACGAUCCGUAGCUGGUCUGAGGGGAUGAUCAGCCACACUGGAACUGAGACACGGUCCAGACUCCUACGGGAGGCAGCAGUGGGGAAUAUUGGACAAUGGGCGCAAGCCUGAUCCAGCCAUACCGCGUGGGUGAAGAAGGCCUUCGGGUUGUAAAGCCCUUUUGUUGGGAAAGAAAAGCAGCAGGUUAAUACCCCGCUGUUCUGACGGUACCCAAAAAAUAAGCACCGGCUAACUUCGUG
This 492-nucleotide ribosomal RNA is filed under the name uncultured bacterium. Its description in RNAcentral is "partial 16S ribosomal RNA". It matches the Rfam family "Bacterial small subunit ribosomal RNA", at positions 29 to 507 of the family's 1533-position model. The record is from RNAcentral.